AUUAAACAUUUUUAAUAAAGUAAAAGUCAGUGUCAACCCCCAAAUUUAAUUACCAAUUUAUUAUAUAAUUUUAGGAUUACCACCAAAUCUAUUAUAAAUUUUUUUUUCUGAGCCUCAAUUAAUUUUAACCACCAGAAUUAAGGAAAAAAAAAUCUCUCAAUUCUAGAUUCAAUUUCAUUCCUCAUUCAGCAGCGACAUUCUUCUUCCAUGUUCCUAAAAAACCCAAUCUCGCAAUUCAAGUUCAAUUCGCAAAUUACAUCACAAAAUCAGUCGUUAAUUCGAUUGUCAUCUGGGGUUCUAAAACUCGCGCUUUCAAUAAGUUUUGAGCUGUGUGGUAUCUUGGCGCUUGGGCAGCAGGUGAGUUGUGUGGGCUUCACUAAGGUAGGGGUGGAAUAAACAUUUUGCUUCAGACAUUUCAGCUUCUAUUUGCAUUUACAAAAGCUUCAAAUAACGUUUAAGAAAGACAGAGUGAAACAAAAGAUCACAAUCAUAAUGGAAGCAAGAUCUAGAUGGUAGAAUAUGAGAAACUUAGACAAAAACUAUAGAACAAAAUAGAAUCAGAAUUAAGGAUUUAGGGGUUACAUCCAUGGCUUAUGAAAUGAAGCAGUCGAUGAAGGGAUCGAAACAAUCUAAAAAAAGGAAGAAAGUGACUAAAGAUACUGACGAGUAUACACCUGAUGAAGAGGGUGAACUGAACCACUCAAGUGAAGAGGAUGAAAAUGAUAUACGGAAAAAUGCUGUAAACUUGAGGUCACGUUCAAAGAAGGUUGUGGCAUUGAGAGGGAAGAUAACCCCAAACAUUAAGGACACAACAUGUGUCUCUUCAGUACCAAUGGCUAAUCGAACGAAGAUGCAUCUUCAAACCACCGAGAGACAACACUUAGAUCAAGGAUUAUAAGGGAGAGAUUCAACGCAAAGAAAAAUCCAAUUGGACAAUGUUACUACACAGAAAAAAUCAGCAGUCCAUAAUCAGCAAGAGAAAGAGGUUGAGAUUAGGAAUGGUGUCCAAUUUAAGACAGGGCAGAGUAGGACAGUGGUUGAUCUGGUUCACUCAGUGCUUAUAGGCAAAUGAAAACACAGUUGCUAGAAAAAGAGUGGAGAGCAAAACAAAGUGAUUUAUUACUACGACGACAACUACGACCUAUUAACAUGGCUAGUUCACAAAGUUUUUCACAACCACAAAGAUUUGGACAUGACUUACAAGAAGAUUAUGAGAAUCAUAUGGGUUCAAAUGAAUGCAAUUUGGAACAAUAUGUAGAUGAAAAAGAUGAGUUUAGUGAUGAUUUGAGUACUCUUACCCCAAUGGAGCUAGGAAUGCAAGAUGAACCACUAAUGAAUGAAGAGCACGAAACUGAAAAAAUAGGUAAUGAUCACUAUCAUUCCAUUCUAAAUAUUUCAAGAUAGAUAUGUUAAGAGCCAUAUGUGAUUUUAAUGACUUAUUUGAGUUAAUGUUCAUAUAGCACUUCCAAAAAGUAAGUGAACUAGAGGAACAACUAUGUGUAAAGAUGUCUAUGAAUGGACAUUAGAGGAGCAUAAUCCUAUUGUUCUUAAUGAAAUGGGAAAUCCUAUAGGUCCCGAUGAUAAGAUUAUAAAUACAUUUACAAGAUUCUUAGGGACCUUAGCUCGUAAUUCUUCUCUAGCGCUGUUGAACAAGAUUAGUUGUCAUUAUGUGCCAGACAAAGAACAAAUUUGGAGUUACGUGAAGAAGAAAUACAUUAUCCUAGAAAAAGGUAAAGAUUGUGUGUUGUCAUCCGUGGGAAGACUUUGGCGUAGAUAUAAAUGUAGUGUAAAGGCCACAAACUUUACUCUGUACGAAAAUGAUGAUGAUAGGUUGGCAAAUCCACCUAAUACAAUUCCAGAAGCACAUUUCAAAGAGUGGCUAGAAUUUUGGAAUUUGGAACCAGUCCAAGGUAAAGUUAUGUUGUUAGUUUCCAUUUAUAUUAUAAUUGCUUAUUUCCCUCUCAAAAUGAAAUAGGUUAAGCUAUGAACCGUGUGUUAUGCAUGCAUGAAAGAAGACAACAAAAAGAAAAGGGAAAUAAGUAAAGAUAAAAAAGAUAGGCACACUAUGGGUCCUAUGACUUUCGCAAGGAAACAACAUAAAUUGCAACAACUAGAUGUUGAAAACAACCCACCAUCCUUAGCACUCAUGUACAAAGAAAGUCGUAAAAGAACAGCAGACAAAAAAUACAAAACAUCUUGUGAGCCCACCCAAAGUAACAUUGACAAGAUGGAGGAGGUACAAAUUCAAAGUGAAAUUGAUGGAGAUUUUGCAUACUAUGAAGUAAUGAAUAAACAUAUAACUUUGGCCAUAGAAAAAAAGCAACCAGAGAUAUGUUCACUAAGGGGAAAGAGCAACAAACCAAUAAUUCCCGAUGAGUUCGUUCUUAAAGCCCUAUAAAGACCAAAUUGUGAAAGAAACUAUAGCAAAAUUAAUGAAGACGCUCAAGAAAAUUGAUCAUGAAGUGUUGGAUACUUUGACUCGAUCACUUGAAAAUGUGUCAUCCAAUCCAGAACCUACAUAUCAUAAUCCCAUUGUGCACUCUAGUGAACAACAGCUAAAUGAGGACCAAUUGGAUCAAGAUGAAGAAUCGGGAUAAGAAUUUAUGAUGUUGCAAGAACUUGGUUUUACCGCUGUUUUGCUGCUGUUUUUUUGCAGUUACUGUUGUUGCUGCCAACUUUGGGUGCUGCUGUCUAUUGUAUGCUUUUAGCUGUUUUGCUAUUACUCUUGUUGUUGCUGCUGUUUUUUCUGUUACUGCUAUUUUUGCUGUUGUUUUUUCUGUUACUGCUAUUUUUGCUGUUGUUUUUGCUGCUUCGGUUUGCUGCCACUACUCUCUGCUACUAUAAGUUGCUCCAACUGCUGUCUGCUACUGUUAGAUGCUGCCACUCAUGUGUGCUACUGCUAGUUGGUGCAAAAGACUGCUGUUAGCAGAUUCUGUUACUCCUUCUAUUCUGCUAGCUGUUGUUAUAAGUUGUUAAUAAUUCUCUUUACUAUUAUGACUAACUUUUGUGAAUUUUGAACUUUUUUGUUUCCAAGCUAGAGAUCGAACUUAAUUUAA
Chenopodium quinoa (quinoa) is the source of this 3056-nucleotide RNA transcript. RefSeq lists it as uncharacterized. The transcript has 9 exons. NCBI's taxonomy places the organism in Eukaryota, Viridiplantae, Streptophyta, Magnoliopsida, Caryophyllales, Amaranthaceae. The record is from RefSeq and is a predicted model, not a curated record.